UACGAAGGGGGCUAGCGUUGUUCGGAAUUACUGGGCGUAAAGCGCGCGCAGGCGGCUUCUCAAGUCAGGGGUGAAAGCCCAGAGCUCAACUCUGGAACUGCCUUUGAGACUGAGAGGCUUGAGUACGGGAGAGGUGAGUGGAAUUCCCAGUGUAGAGGUGAAAUUCGUAGAUAUUCGCAAGAACACCAGUGGCGAAGGCGGCUCACUGGCCCGGUACUGACGCUGAGGUGCGAAAGCGUGGGGAGCAAACAGG
RNAcentral lists this ribosomal RNA (253 nucleotides) under uncultured prokaryote. RNAcentral's name for it is "partial 16S ribosomal RNA". It matches the Rfam family "Bacterial small subunit ribosomal RNA", at positions 524 to 776 of the family's 1533-position model. The record is from RNAcentral.